Molecule: long non-coding RNA, 823 nt
Filed under: Salvia miltiorrhiza (redroot sage)
Lineage: Eukaryota; Viridiplantae; Streptophyta; Magnoliopsida; Lamiales; Lamiaceae
Description: long non-coding RNA (SMIL_LNC010509)
Source: RNAcentral
CACCCUAACUUAUAUUCACAACACAACACAUACGCAGCUCCCAUUUCCCUUUUCCCUCUCUCCCUCGGUCUCCCUUCCUGCCGCCGCCACCGGACGGCGCGCCGCCGCCGGAGGCCGGCGGCUCUGCCUCCUUUCUCCUCCCCCUUCUUCCUAUCUCUCUUUCACCCCUCACUUCUCGCCCUCUUCCCUCAUCUCCCUUCCUCCUCCCCUGCCCUUGUCCUCACCGCACCAGCCGCAGCUGCGGCCGCUCAUUUCUCCGGCGGCGAAGGUCGCCGCCUGCCAGCGUCACCACUACGUCCAUGCCUCCCACCUCUCAUCUCCCUCUCGCCGACAACAGCCACGGCAAUAGCAGCAGCUGAUCGGUCCGCCACCUCCCUUUCCAGAUCCAGCGCCACCACUGCCCCUGCCUCUUUCCGCCGGCCGUCGUGUCGCGCAGCUCCGGCGGUAUUGUUGCUCAACCGUUUCCCCUCUUCUUCCCUCUAUAUUCCUAAACCUCCAUUUCUCUUUCUGCCUCCCCUAUUUCUAUUUCCUUUUCCAUGUAAUUUAUAAGAUCUAUUCUAUUUGAUUUCUUAUUAAAUAUAAAUGAUAGAUUUGAUGAUGUAUGCAUGUAUGAAUUUGGAAAUCUUGGUUUUGAGCAGAGAAUGAAGAAACAAUUGAGAUGCUGAAAUGAAUUUUCAUAGUAUCUGCACAAAAGAAAUCAAAAUUACCACUUGAGCGAAAAUGAACAGACGAGAAGUUGGUGUAAGAAAACAAACGAGGAAAACGAAUUGGUGAUGAUGAAUUGAGGAUGAUGCAAUGAGGUUUAAAUAGAUUGAAUUACUUG